RNAcentral lists this ribosomal RNA (207 nucleotides) under uncultured bacterium. RNAcentral describes it as "partial 16S ribosomal RNA". It matches the Rfam family "Bacterial small subunit ribosomal RNA", at positions 568 to 774 of the family's 1533-position model. The record is from RNAcentral.
CAGGUAGGCGGUUUGGUAAGUCUUUUGUGAAAGCUCCCGGCUCAACUGGGAGAGGCCAAGGGAAACUACCGGACUAGAGUGUGGUAGGGGAUACUGGAAUUCCUGGUGUAGCGGUGAAAUGCGUAGAUAUCAGGAGGAAUACCUAUGGCGAAAGCAGGUAUCUGGGCUAUCACUGACGCUGAGCUGCGAAAGCUAGGGGAGCAAACA